UCCCCCAUCCUCCAGAGAGACUGAGUUAAUGACGUGUCCUGCCUAUAUGAUGAAGCCUCUGUAAAAAUCCCCAAACAGUGGGGUUUGGAGAGCUUCCAGAGAAUACUUCGUAGCUGGAGGGGGACUUCAAGAUCGCCUAUCUGUUCCAACUCCCUCCUUUUGCAUAUGAGAAAGCUUCCAGUUUGGGCCACACCAGGAUUUCAGAUGAUUUGAAAUUCAAAUACACUAGUGGAACACAAGCACAUUUUAAUUUACUCCUUAUCACCGACAGCUCUAAUCAAGGAGCAAUCAGCGCAAUGUGGCAGUGACUCCGAUGGAGAAAUGAACAGUGUCCUGUUUUCCUGUAGCCUGAGAUAGAAUAAAAAAGGAUGAUAGAAACACUGGCAAGGCUGUGGAGCAACUGGAACUCCCAGGCAUUGCUGGUGGGAGUGUAAAAUGCUUCAAUC
This 446-nucleotide long non-coding RNA is filed under the name Equus asinus (donkey). Its description in RNAcentral is "lncRNA (ENSEASG00005037927.1)". Lineage: Eukaryota; Metazoa; Chordata; Mammalia; Perissodactyla; Equidae. The record is from RNAcentral.